This 315-nucleotide ribosomal RNA is filed under the name uncultured Bergeyella sp. RNAcentral's name for it is "bacterial SSU rRNA". It matches the Rfam family "Bacterial small subunit ribosomal RNA", at positions 28 to 335 of the family's 1533-position model. Lineage: Bacteria; Pseudomonadati; Bacteroidota; Flavobacteriia; Flavobacteriales; Weeksellaceae. The record is from RNAcentral.
GAUGAACGCUAGCGGGAGGCCUAACACAUGCAAGCCGAGCGGGAUUUGUUGGUUAGCUUGCUAACUAACGAUGAGAGCGGCGUACGGGUGCGGAACAUGUGUGCAAUCUGCCCUUAUCAAGGGGAUAGCCCAGAGAAAUCUGGAUUAAUACCCUAUAACAUAUGGGAUGGCAUCAUUUCAUAUUAAAAGCUACGGCGGAUAAGGAUGAGCACGCACAAGAUUAGCUAGUUGGUAAGGUAACGGCUUACCAAGGCGACGAUCUUUAGGGGGCCUGAGAGGGUGAUCCCCCACACUGGGACUGAGACACGGCCCAGA